RNAcentral lists this ribosomal RNA (1168 nucleotides) under Candidatus Rehaiarchaeum fermentans. RNAcentral describes it as "partial 23S ribosomal RNA". It matches the Rfam family "Archaeal large subunit ribosomal RNA", at positions 1 to 1291 of the family's 2987-position model. The record is from RNAcentral. Lineage: Archaea; Nanobdellati; Candidatus Parvarchaeota.
UUAAUUCUACUCCCAAGCCGUAGAAUGGAUGACUAGGUUUUAGACACCGACGAAGGGCGUGGCAAGCUGCGAAAAGGAGGAGGUAGGCGCACGCGGCCGUUGAUCUCCUCACGCCUGAAUGCGUGAUGCCUGUCCGAAAGGACAGAUUCCUCGCAAGAGGAAGGGGAACCUAGGGAAGUAAAACAUUUUAGUACCUAGAGGAGAAGAAAUCAAUUGAGAUUCCCUUAGUAGGGGCGACCGAAAGGGGAAGAGGGCAAAUCGAAUCUUCGCAAGAAGAGAUGUGACGCGAUCAUAAGAAGCUAACUUUGAGGUGAAGUCCACUGGAAUGUGGCACCAUAGAGAGUGACAGUCUCGUAGCUUCAAAAGUUAGCUUUGGAUUGCAAAGAGUACCAGGGGUUGAAAUUCUCCUGGAAAGAUAGGGGUCACGAACCUCUAACCCUAAAUAUGUCUAAAAUCCGAUAGCGCAUAGUAGCGCGAGCGAACGUUGAAAAGCACUCUCGAAGAGAGGGUGAAAAGAGCCUGAAAUUCUACGGUGAUAGUUGGUGCGGCUCUACGGAGUUGCACCAUCCUUUGUGGAUAAAGGGCCGGGGAGUUUGGGUACAUGGCAAGGCUAACCUUUUAUGGGAAGCCGCAGCGAAAGCGAGUCUGAAAGGGCGUUAAGUCAUGUGUCCAAGACCCGAUGCCGAGUGAUCUAUGCCCAAGCAAGACGAAGCCGAGCUUUAUGCUUGGUGGAGGUCUGACCGGGUGAGGUGUCUCCUCUCCGUCGACUUGGGCAUAGGGGCGAAAAACCAAUCGUACUCGGUAGUAGCUGGUUCUCCUCGAAAUGUCCCACAGGACAGUUACUACGAUGGUUCUCAUACGGUAAAGUUACUGAUAGGAUGUGCAUGCAUCGAAAGGUGCAGCCUUCCUGUCAAACUCAGAAUGUAUGAGAAACUAUAUCGUAGUGAUUGGGUGUCUGGCGUAAAGUUGGACACCGAGAAGAGAACAAUCUAGACAUGAGUUAAGGCCCCUAAAUGUGCACUAAGUACGCGCAAAAAGUGCGAUUAUCAGAGACAACUGGGAGGUAGGCUCAGAAGUGGCCAUCCUCUAAGGAGUGUGUUACAACUCACCAGUCUAGAUAAUCACACUUGAAGACGGACGGGGUUAAGUGCACUGCCGAAACUCAUGA